RNAcentral lists this transfer RNA (75 nucleotides) under Sphaerodactylus townsendi. RNAcentral describes it as "tRNA-Ala". It matches the Rfam family "tRNA". Rfam says of the family: Transfer RNA (tRNA) molecules are approximately 80 nucleotides in length. Lineage: Eukaryota; Metazoa; Chordata; Lepidosauria; Squamata; Sphaerodactylidae. The record is from RNAcentral.
GGAAGAGCUGUGGCUCAGUUGUACAGUAUCUGCUUUGCGUGCAGAAGUUCCCAGGUUUGGUCCCUGGCACAUCCA